Molecule: ribosomal RNA, 703 nt
Filed under: uncultured marine alveolate
Lineage: Eukaryota
Description: SSU rRNA
Rfam family: Eukaryotic small subunit ribosomal RNA
Source: RNAcentral
GUAAAAAAGCUCGUAGUUGGAUUUCUGUUGAGGGUGACCGGUCCAUACCACGUAUGCGCAUCUGGUUCAGCCUCGGCAUCCUCUCGAAAAACGUUUCUGCGCUUGAUUGCGUGGAGCGGGGUUCGGGACUUUUACUUUGAGGAAAUUAGAGUGUUCACGGCAGGCUAUCGCCCGAAUACGUUAGCAUGGAAUAAUAAUAUAGGAUCUCGGUUCUAUUUUGUUGGUUUCUAGAAUUGAGGUAAUGAUUAAUAGGGACAAUUGGGGGCAUUCGUAUCAACACGUCAGAGGUGGAAUUCUUGGAUUGUGUUGCGACGAACUACUGCGAAAGCAUUUGCCAAGGAUGUUUUCAUUGAUCAAGAACGAAAGUAAGGGGAUCGAAGAUGAUUAGAUACCGUCGUAGUCUUUACCACAAACUAUGCCGACUAGAGAUGGGGCAUCGUUCAUUUACGACUUGCUCCGCACCUUAUGGAUACUAUAAGUCUUUGGGUUCCGGGGGGAGUAUGGUCGCAAGACUGGAACUUAAAGGAAUUGACGGAAGGGCACCACCAGGAGUGGAGCCUGCGGCUUAAUUUGACUCAACACGGGAAAACUCACCAGGUCCAGACAUAAUAAGGAUUGACAGAUUGAUAGCUCUUUCUUGAUUUUAUGGGUGGUGGUGCAUGGCCGUUCUUAGUUCAUGGAGUGAUUUGUCUGCUUAAUUGCG